UACGGGGGGGAGCAAGCGUUGUUCGGAUUUACUGGGCGUAAAGGGCGCGUAGGCGGUCGUGACAAGUCACUUGUGAAAUCUCCGGGCUUAACUCGGAACGGUCAAGUGAUACUGUCGGACUAGAGUACAGAAGGGGCAACUGGAAUUCUCGGUGUAGCGGUGAAAUGCGCAGAUAUCGGGAAGAACACCCGUGGCGAAGGCGGCUCUCUGGGACGGUACUGACGCUGAGACGCGAA
Molecule: ribosomal RNA, 236 nt
Filed under: uncultured bacterium
Lineage: Bacteria
Description: partial 16S ribosomal RNA
Rfam family: Bacterial small subunit ribosomal RNA
Source: RNAcentral